GAUGAACGCUAGCUACAGGCUUAACACAUGCAAGUCGAGGGGAAACAGGCAUUAAGUGCUUGCACUUUUUGGACGUCGACCGGCGCACGGGUGAGUAACGCGUAUCCAACCUUCCCAUGACUAAGGGAUAACCUGCCGAAAGGCAGACUAAUACCUUAUGGUCUUCACUGACGGCAUCAGAUGUGAAGUAAAGAUUUAUCGGUUAUGGAUGGGGAUGCGUCUGAUUAGUUAGUUGGCGGGGUAACGGCCCACCAAGGCAACGAUCAGUAGGGGUUCUGAGAGGAAGGUCCCCCACAUUGGAACUGAGACACGGUCCAAACUCCUACGGGAGGCAGCAGUGAGGAAUAUUGGUCAAUGGGCGAGAGCCUGAACCAGCCAAGUAGCGUGCAGGACGACGGCCCUA
RNAcentral lists this ribosomal RNA (403 nucleotides) under Prevotella sp. oral taxon 298. RNAcentral describes it as "bacterial SSU rRNA". It matches the Rfam family "Bacterial small subunit ribosomal RNA", at positions 28 to 419 of the family's 1533-position model. The record is from RNAcentral. Lineage: Bacteria; Pseudomonadati; Bacteroidota; Bacteroidia; Bacteroidales; Prevotellaceae.